CCUACGGGUGGCAGCAGUGGGGAAUAUUGGGCAAUGGGCGCAAGCCUGACCCAGCAACGCCGCGUGAAGGAAGAAGGCUUUCGGGUUGUAAACUUCUUUUCUCAGGGACGAAGCAAGUGACGGUACCUGAGGAAUAAGCCACGGCUAACUACGUGCCAGCAGCCGCGGUAAUACGUAGGGGGCAAGCGUUAUUCGGAUUUACUGGGUGUAAAGGGCGUGUAGGCGGGUAUGCAAGUCAGAGGUGAAAACCAUGGGCUCAACCUGUGGCCUGCAUUUGAAACUGUAGUUCUUGAGUGCUGGAGAGGCAGACGGAAUUCCUAGUGUAGCGGUGGAAUGCGUAGAUAUUAGGAGGAACACCAGUGGCGAAGGCGGUCUGCUGGACAGCAACUGACGCUGAGGCGCGAAAGCGUGGGGAGCAAACAGGAUUAGAUACCCGGGUAGUC
This 443-nucleotide ribosomal RNA is filed under the name uncultured bacterium. RNAcentral describes it as "partial 16S ribosomal RNA". It matches the Rfam family "Bacterial small subunit ribosomal RNA", at positions 338 to 795 of the family's 1533-position model. The record is from RNAcentral.